UUAAAUGGAUUAACCCAUUUAACAACUCAAUCCAUCAAAUUAAAUGAGUUAUGGGUUGACUCAUUUAACUCUAAACUCAUUUGAUUAUGAGUUGAGUUGAAUUGGGUUACCAAUUUUGACACCCCUAAGCGGAUACACCUUUAACGGAUUAAACUACUCUAUUUUUGGAGAUGAUAACAAACUGUUGU
This 188-nucleotide small RNA is filed under the name Arabidopsis thaliana (thale cress). Its description in RNAcentral is "ATSL101490". The record is from RNAcentral. Lineage: Eukaryota; Viridiplantae; Streptophyta; Magnoliopsida; Brassicales; Brassicaceae.